Molecule: ribosomal RNA, 222 nt
Filed under: uncultured Glomeromycotina
Lineage: Eukaryota; Fungi; Glomeromycota
Description: partial 18S ribosomal RNA
Rfam family: Eukaryotic small subunit ribosomal RNA (bases 45-222)
Source: RNAcentral
GGAUCAAUAUGUUGGUCGUGCCUCGGUACGUACUGGCUUAUUGGUUUCUCCCUUCUGACGAACCAUGAUGUCAUUUAUUUGGUGUUAUGAGGAAUCAGGACUGUUACUUUUUGAAAAAUUAGAGUGUUUAAAGCAGGCUCACGCUUGAAUACAUUAGCAUGGAAUAAUGAAAUAGGACGUUUGAUUCUAUUUUGUUGGUUUCUAGGAUCGACGUAAUGAUUA